This 413-nucleotide ribosomal RNA is filed under the name uncultured bacterium. RNAcentral's name for it is "partial 16S ribosomal RNA". It matches the Rfam family "Bacterial small subunit ribosomal RNA", at positions 360 to 773 of the family's 1533-position model. The record is from RNAcentral.
AAUAUUGGGCAAUGGGCGAGAGCCUGACCCAGCGACGCCGCGUGAAGGAAGAAGGUCUNCGGAUUNUNAACUUCUUUUGCAGAGGNAGAAAAGCGCAUUCGGUGCGCCAUGACGGUACUCUGAGAAAAAGCCACGGCUAACUACGUGCCAGCAGCCGCGGUAAUACGUAGGGUGCAAGCGUUAAUCGGAAUUACUGGGCGUAAAGCGUGCGCAGGCGGUUCGGCAAGAAGGAUGUGAAAUCCCAGGGCUUAACCUUGGAACUGCAUUCUUAACUGCCGGGCUAGAGUAUGUCAGAGGGGGGUAGAAUUCCGCGUGUAGCAGUGAAAUGCGUAGAGAUGCGGAGGAAUACCGAUGGCGAAGGCAGCCCCCUGGGAUAAUACUGACGCUCAUGCACGAAAGCGUGGGGAGCAAAC